This 468-nucleotide ribosomal RNA is filed under the name uncultured bacterium. RNAcentral's name for it is "partial 16S ribosomal RNA". It matches the Rfam family "Bacterial small subunit ribosomal RNA", at positions 28 to 507 of the family's 1533-position model. The record is from RNAcentral.
GACGAACGCUGGCGGCGUGCUUAACACAUGCAAGUCGAACGGAAAGGCCCUGCUUUUGUGGGGUGCUCGAGUGGCGAACGGGUGAGUAACACGUGAGCAACCUGCCCUUGACUUUGGGAUAACUUCAGGAAACUGGGGCUAAUACCGGAUAGGAGCUCCUGCUGCAUGGUGGGGGUUGGAAAGUUUCGGCGGUUGGGGAUGGACUCGCGGCUUAUCAGCUUGUUGGUGGGGUAGUGGCUUACCGAGGCUUUGACGGGUAGCCGGCCUGAGAGGGUGACCGGCCACAAGGGGACUGAGAUACGGCCCAGACUCCUACGGGAGGCAGCAGUGGGGAAUAUUGCACAAUGGGCGGGAGCCUGAUGCAGCAACGCCGCGUGCGGGAUGACGGCCUUCGGGUUGUAAACCGCUUUCGCCUGUGACGAAGCGUGAGUGACGGUAAUGGGUAAAGAAGCACCGGCUAACUACGUG